UACGUAGGGUGCGAGCGUUGCCCGGAAUUAUUGGGCGUAAAGAGCGUGUAGGCGGCUUUACAGGUCCGUUGUGAAAACUCGAGGCUCAACCUCGAGACGCCGGUGGAAACCGUAAAGCUAGAGUCCGGAAGAGGAGAGUGGAAUUCCUGGUGUAGCGGUGAAAUGCGCAGAUAUCAGGAGGAACACCCGUGGCGAAAGCGGCUCUCUGGGACGGUACUGACGCUGAGACGCGAAAGCGUGGGGAGCAAACAGG
This 253-nucleotide ribosomal RNA is filed under the name uncultured bacterium. Its description in RNAcentral is "partial 16S ribosomal RNA". It matches the Rfam family "Bacterial small subunit ribosomal RNA", at positions 524 to 776 of the family's 1533-position model. The record is from RNAcentral.